Molecule: ribosomal RNA, 445 nt
Filed under: uncultured bacterium
Lineage: Bacteria
Description: bacterial SSU rRNA
Rfam family: Bacterial small subunit ribosomal RNA
Source: RNAcentral
UCCAGACUCCUACGGGAGGCAGCAGUAGGGAAUCUUUCACAAUGGGCGAAAGCCUGAUGGAGCAACGCCGCGUGCAGGAUGAGGGCCUUCGGGUUGUAAACUGCUUUUAUAAGCGAGAAAUAUGAUGGUAACUUAUGAAUAAGGAUCGGCUAACUACGUGCCAGCAGCCGCGGUCAUACGUAGGAUCCGAGCAUUAUCCGGAGUGACUGGGUGUAAAGGGUGCGUAGACGGAAGAACAAGUUGGUUGUGAAAUCCCUCGGCUCAACUGAGGAACUGCAACCAAAACUAUUCUCCUUGAGUGUCGGAGAGGAAAGUGGAAUUCCUAGUGUAGCGGUGAAAUGCGUAGAUAUUAGGAGGAACACCAGUGGCGAAGGCGACUUUCUGGACGAUAACUGACGUUGAGGCACGAAAGUGUGGGGAGCAAACAGGAUUAGAUACCCCCGUA